CCAAUAGCGUAUAUUAAAGUUGUUGCAGUUAAAAAGCUCGUAGUUGAACUUCGGGGUCUACCCAUUGGUCAGGCUUAAUUGUCUGAACUGGUGAGAUGGAUCUCUACCUUCUGAGGAACUUUCAUGCCAUUUAUUUGGUGUGAUUGGAAAUCAGGACUGUUACUUUGAAAAAAUUAGAGUGUUUAAAGCAGACUAUCGUCUGAAUACAUUAGCAUGGAAUAAUGAAAUAGGACGGACUGAUUCUAUUUCGUUGGUUUCUAGGAUCACCGUAAUGAUUAAUAGGGAUAGUUGGGGGCAUUAGUAUUCAAUUGUCAGAGGUGAAAUUCUUGGAUUUAUUGAAGACUAACUACUGCGAAAGCAUUUGCCAAGGAUGUUUUCAUUAAUCAAGAACGAAAGUUAGGGGAUCGAAGACGAUCAGAUACCGUCGUAGUCUUAACCAUAAACUAUGCCGACUAGGAAUCAGACGAUGUUAAUUUUUUAAUGACUCGUUUGGCACCUUACG
This 502-nucleotide ribosomal RNA is filed under the name uncultured Glomeromycotina. RNAcentral's name for it is "partial small subunit ribosomal RNA". It matches the Rfam family "Eukaryotic small subunit ribosomal RNA", at positions 591 to 1092 of the family's 1831-position model. The record is from RNAcentral. Lineage: Eukaryota; Fungi; Glomeromycota.